UAGAAGGGAAUUUUACUUUGAGAAACUUUUAGAAGAUUCCCUUGAGUGGAGUGAGCCUUUCCCCCAGCAGAAGAACACCCUGGUUGACCCCUGUGUGCCUCUUGCCCUGGUGCAGAGAAGAUUGGACCAGAAGCAAAUGCUGAAGAGGGAGCUCAUCAUUAUUCUCUCUUCUAAAAGAAGAGAAAAUUGAGGGACAGCAGCCUUGAUCUUAUUGAGAAGAAGAUUGAAGCGAAAGACAAGGAGAUCUUAAGAUUGAUCAAACUACAAAGGCAGAGGAGACUUGAAAAAAAGAAGUGCACCAGAGAGCCAUCAAGUACACUGAAGUAAUUUGUGAUGGAUGUCUGACUGACCUGAACCUUGGCUGCUGCUUGGUUUUCUUUGCCAUUCCUUCCUAAGGCGUGUUUUUAUGGCUUUUGAUGCAAAUGGAAGCUUCUCUGCCCUUUCAUGUGGAGACACCUGCCCUAUUGCAAGGUAGAAAUCAUCUGGCCCAUGUCUACAGCUUCUUUUCUUGAGCUGAAGUCCUCUCCUUGCAUAACUACUUCUGAUCAGAUGACACUAAGCCAUUUUCAGUUGUAAGCGUUUGGAGCUGGGGUUUGUGUUAUACAGCUCUAAUGAAGUAGAUUUUUUCCCCCCCACAAAAUGGAAUAUUCAUUCUAUGUGAAGA
Non-coding RNA from Cyanistes caeruleus (blue tit), 664 nucleotides. The record is from RefSeq and is a predicted model, not a curated record. NCBI's taxonomy places the organism in Eukaryota, Metazoa, Chordata, Aves, Passeriformes, Paridae.